AGAGAGCCUCACGUCGACGGAGUAGCGAUCCACGACGACCCCGAGUCAUGCGGCGGCGCCCGCGAGGGCGCAGUCGAAGCGUUUGACAGGGGCACGAGCAGGCAGGGUAUUGAGCCGCGAAAUCAGGCAUUUCGGGACGCCGACGCUGUUAUCCGAAGCGGAAGGCAACACGGGCCACACCGAGAGCGCGAGGUGUGGCGCGGUCCUGCGCGGUCGAAGGCCC
This is a non-coding RNA of Deltaproteobacteria bacterium RBG_16_71_12, 223 nucleotides long. Lineage: Bacteria; Deltaproteobacteria. The record is from Rfam.